CAAUGAACGUAGGAAUUAAAAUGGCUGAAGAUAGAAAGAAAAAGUAAGCCACUCAUUGUAGUACACAAGUUCGGACCUUUAAGUGUAUUUCUUUUGGUUUGUUUUCGUUUGUCCUUACUACUCUUUGAUGCAUUUUUGU
RNAcentral lists this non-coding RNA (139 nucleotides) under Protocruzia adhaerens. The record is from RNAcentral. Lineage: Eukaryota; Ciliophora; Spirotrichea.